UGCCAGCCGCCGCGGUAAUACGGGAGUGGCAAGCGUUAUCCGGAAUUACUGGGCGUAAAGCGUACGUAGGCGGAUUAAUAAGUUAGAGGUGAAAUCCCGGGGCUCAACCCCGGAACUGCCUUUGAUACUGGUAGUCUAGAGUUCGAGAGAGGUGAGUGGAAUUCCGAGUGUAGAGGUGAAAUUCGUAGAUAUUCGGAGGAACACCAGUGGCGAAGGCGGCUCACUGGCUCGAUACUGACGCUGAGGUGCGAAAGCGUGGGGAGCAAACAGGAUUAGAUA
RNAcentral lists this ribosomal RNA (279 nucleotides) under uncultured bacterium. RNAcentral's name for it is "partial 16S ribosomal RNA". It matches the Rfam family "Bacterial small subunit ribosomal RNA", at positions 506 to 784 of the family's 1533-position model. The record is from RNAcentral.